This 253-nucleotide ribosomal RNA is filed under the name uncultured bacterium. RNAcentral's name for it is "partial 16S ribosomal RNA". It matches the Rfam family "Bacterial small subunit ribosomal RNA", at positions 524 to 776 of the family's 1533-position model. The record is from RNAcentral.
UACAGAGGUCUCAAGCGUUGUUCGGAUUCAUUGGGCGUAAAGGGCGCGCAGGCGGCUACGCACGUUCAUUGUGAAAUCGCCCGGCUCAACUGAGCGGGGUCAGCGAAUACGGCGUGGCUGGAGCAAGCUAGGGGGCAAUGGAAUUCCCGGUGUAGUGGUGAAAUGCGUAGAUAUCGGGAGGAACACCUGUGGCGAAAGCGGCGCACUGGACCACAACUGACGCUGAGGCGCGAAAGCUAGGGGAGCGAACAGG